CAGCCGGCCGCCUAACGAUGCCAGACAGGCGGCCCGCAACAGCACGUCCCUCCCGGCUCUCCAAGGCCUCACAGCCAACUGGCAUUUCAAGCUCUGCACCAAGACAGAGAACGGAAAAGCUCAUUCCAGCCCCCACACUGCUCUAGCCCUUCUGGAUGUUCUCUGCUAUCCCAGGAGCUAGCGUUCCAGAAGCUUCCUCAGCUGGCCGCACCCAGCGACGCACCGUGCCUGGUCCUGGCCCUGGCUCACGGGGCUCUGCCUGCUCUGGCCCCCGCACAGGUGGGCACAGGGAGGCUUUCCGGCCGCGGCGGCUGUGGUUCUGCAAGAUCCGAGCCUCUAGCACCACGACGGACAGACACAGGAC
Mustela erminea (ermine) is the source of this 364-nucleotide long non-coding RNA. RefSeq lists it as uncharacterized. Lineage: Eukaryota; Metazoa; Chordata; Mammalia; Carnivora; Mustelidae. The record is from RefSeq and is a predicted model, not a curated record. The transcript has 3 exons.